GAGUGUGUAGCUCAGUGUGGAGCACUAGCUUAGCAUCCCUGAGGCCCUGGGUUCCAUUCCCAGCACACCCC
Molecule: transfer RNA, 71 nt
Filed under: Heterocephalus glaber (naked mole-rat)
Lineage: Eukaryota; Metazoa; Chordata; Mammalia; Rodentia; Bathyergidae
Rfam family: tRNA
About the family: Transfer RNA (tRNA) molecules are approximately 80 nucleotides in length. Their secondary structure includes four short double-helical elements and three loops (D, anti-codon, and T loops).
Source: Rfam by way of RNAcentral